RNAcentral lists this ribosomal RNA (413 nucleotides) under uncultured bacterium. RNAcentral's name for it is "bacterial SSU rRNA". It matches the Rfam family "Bacterial small subunit ribosomal RNA", at positions 362 to 774 of the family's 1533-position model. The record is from RNAcentral.
UAUUGCUCAAUGGGAGAAAUCCNGAAGCAGCAACGCCGCGUGGAGGAUGAAGGGUCUAUGACUUGUAAACUCCUGUAAAGAAGGAAAAAAUUCCCAUUUGAUGGGAGAUGAUGGUACUUCUGGAGUAAGCCCCGGCUAACUACGUGCCAGCAGCCGCGGUAAUACGUAGGGGGCAAGCGUUGUCCGGAUUUACUGGGUGUAAAGGGUGCUCAGGCGGAUUUGUAAGUCAGAGGUGAAAUCUUACAGCUUAACUGUGAAACUGCCUUUGAUACUGCAAGCCUAGAGUAUGGAAGAGNGUGAUGGAAUAUCUGGUGUAGCAGUGAAAUGCGUAGAGAUCAGAUAGAACACCAAUGGCGAAGGCAGUCACUUGGUCCAUUACUGACGCUAAAGCACGAAAGCGUGGGUAGCAAACA